CAUCUGUCUGUGCAACGGUGGCCUCGGGGGAUCAAAAGGCUGUCCUCGUGCCUUCGUCACCAGUUUUCGCGUUGUGCCUCCAUGGUGGAAGCGAGCAAACGGAGUUCGGGUGAAGACGAGGUGCGGAGGUAAUGGAAGCGCAGGUGUGGGACGGGGAGUGCGUGGUGACGGAGGGAGACGCCCUGGAUUCGGAGAACAACGCCGCAUGCGCCAGCCCUCAAGACGCACAGACCGACAUUCCUGAGUGCGGAGCAGGAGAGGUAGCAGGUGGGAGUUCUCCAGCGCAGGUGAAGCUGGAGACGCAGGAGCCCUCUGUCAUCGUGCCCGUUGCGGUAUCAGGUGGGGGUCUUCAGGCCCAGGUGAAGCUGGAGACCCAGGAGGCGUCCCAGAAUUCCCUGUUGGCCCAAAACGCACCUCUCCCAGACAGCCGGGCCCAGACUGAGGAGUUCAUCAUCUUCGAUCAGAACGGGCAGCCUCUUCAGUAUGAGCGCAUGGUGAUUCUGACGGGGCAGUCGGAGAACGGGCAGCUCUAUGUGAUCCCGUCUAACCAUUUCGGAGGGGCCCAGGUGCUGCUUCCGCAGGGUCAGUUGAUGGACAUUGGCGAGACGGCAGGCCCCUGUGUGGAGAAGUCCAGCACUGAGCAUGCUCAGACCAUCACUCUGACGGCGAUCACAGACCCCGCCAGCGGAUCCACUGUGCUGACAUCACCACCUGUCACUCAAAGCAAGGCCGAGCCCCACAGUUCCCCUGACAGCUGUCCUGCCCCCCCGAAGCCCCUCCCCCCCAACACGCCCAGCUGGGCUCACCUGCUGCACAGCUGUGAGAAGAUCGGCGACUCCUACCGCGGGUUCUGCACCAACGAGGCGGAGCUGGAGGCGGUGCUUAUGCUGCACAAGCAGCACACCCACAGCGUGUUCGGGACCCGCCAGUCGCCCUCCCCUGCCAAGCCCGCCACGCGCCUCAUGUGGAAGUCGCAGUACGUGCCCUACGAUGGGAUCCCCUUCGUCAACGCGGGCAGCAGGGCCAUUGUGAUGGAGUGCCAGUUUGGGCCGCGCCGGAAGGGGCUCCAGCCCAAAAAGACACCAGAGCAGGAGAUCAGUACCAGGGCCCAGUACAAAGCCACCUGCCCCGCUAGGAUUUACAUUAAGAAAGUGCGGAAGUUUCCAGAAUACAGAGUGCCCACAGACCCCAAGGUGGACAAGAAGGUGGUGCGGCAGGAGCAGGAGAAGGCCUUCUUCAACCUCAAGAAGAGCCUGUGGGACGCAGGAGGAGUACUGAGGUACUAUGUGCAGCUGCCCACGCAGAAGGCCCAUCUGUACCACAGCAUGGACACCCCCGUCCUGCCCUCGCUCCCCGCCCAGCUGCUGCUCCCCAAGGAGGAGGAGCCGGAGGAGGAGGAGGAGGAAGAGGAGGAUGAAGAGGGAGCGGGGGGCGAAGGAGGGACGGGGGAGGACGGGAGCUUCGUUCCCUCCCGCCUGCACCCUCGCGUGGCGGAGAAGAUCGUGGAGCUGGUGGCACAGGGGCACAGCCAGGUGUACGCCGUCCGCAAGCAGCUGAGGAAGUUUGUGGAGCGCGAGAUGUUCAAAUCGGACAAGGUGCCCGAGAGGCACAACCUGUGCUAUUUUCCCACCGUCAACGACAUCAAGAACCACAUCCACGAGGCCCAGAAGCAGCUGCAGCCGGGCGGGGCCGGGUUCGAGUCCGAGGGCACCGAUGCGCAGUGGGCUGCUGGGAACGAGAGCGCCUUCUCAGAGACGGUGACCCUGACGCUGGCCCCCGCCGCUGAAGCGCCCCCCCAGCGGGGCGAGGCUCUGGAGGGGAGCGACACGCUAUCCCAUGAGGCCAUGCAGCUCUUCAGCUCGCUCACCGCCCUGCAGCCCAAGAUCUUUGCGCAGCUGCAUGGCGUCCAGUUCCAGCCUGCGCUGUGCGGCUCGGACAGGCCGCCGCCCCCCCAGCGGGACCUGGCCCCGCCCCCGGACGCGCCCGGCGCCGCCCCCCCGCAGCCCCUGCUCCUCAGCCCCGCCCAGUUCCUGCAGCCCGCCGCCCCCCUCGGGGGGGGCGUGUCCCUGUCGGACCCCGCCCCGCUGCUGGGCGUGGGGCAGCUGGUCAGCGUGUCUGCGCUCACGGACGGGUCCGGGGAGGGCGGAGUCCACCAGAUCCUGCUGGAUGACGGACAGGCCAUCCCGGUGCAGAUCGUGGAGCCUGUUACAGGUGCAGGGGUCAGCGUUCCCGAGGACCAAUCAGAGGCCUCGGAGCUGGAGGUCAGCGGGACGGACGGCCUGCACUCUCCGAAGGACUGAGAGGGCGAAAGCGGGGUACAUGAGGCUGUGCCCCGAAUCCCCAAAUCCCCGAGCCCCCACUCCCAGGGAGGGGCCGCUUCCGGGGUCCUCCGAGACCGGACAGGACACGGAGGACCCACCUGCCCCGCCCCGUCUCCCCCAGGCCCCGCCCACAGGGAGGCGCCACAGAAGAGCUCCAGUCCUCUGUGCGUUCAGCGAGGUAGCGGGGAAAAAGGACAUGGGCUGGGUCAGGUGUGUGUGUGUGUGUGUGUGCGUGCGUGUGUGUGUGUGUGAGUGCGUGUGUGUGUGUGUGUGCGUGUGUGUGUGUCGAAAGGGAAAACCGUCUCCUCGCUCAGCUUCCUGUUUCCGCGCCGGACGCGGUCCGCUGGCUGACUCGUCCGUUUCAGCGCCACUUCAGCCAAUCAGGUCAAAGCGGUGGUUUACGUUGCAUAGCAGAGGUCAGAUCCCUCAUGUCCGCGAUCGAGGACUCGACCCUUGAGCCCUGGCGUACGAUCCGGAGGGGGAUCGCUCGUGCCGCCGACGCACGGUCUGUUGACGGAAAGUUUAAAUGAAAGUCUGAACUUAGGUUCUCUCUCUGAACUCUGUGUUUUAGUUUUGCAUAAUGAAAAGAGGAGAACCGGUUCAACUGCUGCGAGAUGUUCCCAGAGAUGUGUUCCCAGAAGAAUGUCGCACUCUGGCGACUGCCGUCUCUCCCAGAUGCACAGGCCAUGAGUUCACCUUCAGUUCCUCGCUUCUGGAAAAUGCGACAUUUUUCAGCGUGCGUGUGGAGUGCUUUUGUGAAGCAUCUUCCUUUCGCUAAAGUUCUCAGAUCCCUCCCGUCUGCUUUGAAGCCUGUUCUAACCAUCAUCAUAAGAUUAGCUUAAACAAAAUGGAUAUGAAUGCUAAAUUCCUAAAAAGCCAGCUCAGUGUUUGCAGUACAAUUAUGCAUUGAGAUCAUCAGAAAAGUUUUUAAGAGAACGAUUAACACGGAGACAAUAAGAAAUGGAUUCUGGGAUUGUUAGUGUGAGGACCAAACAUCUAGCAGUAGGUCACUAAAACCAGAGGAAUCUCCUAAGUAUCAUACAUUUAACAAAAAUGAUCAGCUUAGUGAAAGAAUAAAAUGUAUAAAGCGUACUCCCAGACAGGGCUUCCUCCAGUACAAUGAAAGCACAGACUCAGGGCAUUGACGAGCUGAAGGACACGGGUUCGAGCCCUGCAGCCUGCCUGGUCGUCUCUGGAACAGCAGCUACGGCUAGCAGACUGCAGGUAGGGCAGGUUUAUUAGAGCUGGGGUGGGCAGUUCUGGUCCUGGGGGGCAGGUUUAUUAGAGCAGGGGUGGGCAGUUCUGGUCCUGGGGGGCAGGUUUAUUAGAGCAGGGGUGGGCAGUUCUGGUCCUGGGGGGCAGGUUUAUUAGAGCAGGGGUGGGCAGUUCUGGUCCUGGGGGGCAGGUUUAUUAGAGCAGGGGUGGGCAGUUCUGGUCCUGGGGGGCAGGUUUAUUAGAGCAGGGGUGGGCAGUUCUGGUCCUGGGGGGCCAGUGUAUGUGCAGGUUUUCGUUUCCACUCUGGCUAAUCGUGAGCUAAUUGGCUGUACUCACCAGCGUGGUUUACUCGCAGAUUAGAUCACAACGAAACAUUUCACGUGGUUACAAAAACAGUCUUCGGUCCUCGUUCAUGCGCUUGAAGACGUGUAGUUAAAAUGUCAGAUGGUGCAAGUGUCAGUGCUAGUUAAGUAAUUAAGGCCAGAGGUUGGUAUCAAAAGCAGGAACAGGGACAGCUCUUGUUGCUCCACCUCUGUUCUGGAUCUCCCAAAACUGACAGGACUCUCCAGAACUAGAACAGGAUGAAGGUUAUGACUGUUUUUAAAAAGCGUUUUUUGGAACCACAGGAUUUCUCAGGGUAAUAUUUUGUCUUUUGACUGUUUCAUGCAUUAAUGGAUGUUACUGAUGAGGUUGUGACUCCUUGCAUUAACAGUGUGUCAGACAGUAGCUUAGCACGUUCUUAAGCACUUAAAUGGAUGAAAAAGAUGAACUUCCAAGUUUAUUUACACUGGAAAUAACAUGAACGUAUUGUAUGCUGUGUUUGGUUUCCAAUAUAAAAUGGCUGGGGGAGAUUGUGACUGUGGUUAAUGUUGCAUUCCUGACAGGAAACUAAAACUGGACUCAUCUUAAAUCCAAGAGUAGUUGUGCUUCUUUAUGAGCGCUCUGUAACCAAUGUUCUCUUGACUGGGUGUUGCACACAGUAGAACAGAAUUAAAAUGUACACUGGAUCCCAUAAAUUCA
This is an RNA transcript of Anguilla anguilla (European eel), 4556 nucleotides long. It is a transcript of the gene named calcium-responsive transcription factor-like, with no coding region annotated. Lineage: Eukaryota; Metazoa; Chordata; Actinopteri; Anguilliformes; Anguillidae. The transcript is spliced from 16 exons. The record is from RefSeq and is a predicted model, not a curated record.